Molecule: transfer RNA, 71 nt
Filed under: Cladonia rangiferina
Lineage: Eukaryota; Fungi; Ascomycota; Lecanoromycetes; Lecanorales; Cladoniaceae
Also listed under: 1 other name
Description: tRNA-Gly
Rfam family: tRNA
About the family: Transfer RNA (tRNA) molecules are approximately 80 nucleotides in length. Their secondary structure includes four short double-helical elements and three loops (D, anti-codon, and T loops).
Source: RNAcentral
ACGGGCAUAGGUUAAUGGUAGACCAUUUGUCUUCCAAACAAAGUGUGUCGGUUCGAUACCGACUGACCGUA